RNAcentral lists this long non-coding RNA (391 nucleotides) under Elaeis guineensis (African oil palm). Its description in RNAcentral is "long non-coding RNA (EGUI_LNC067030)". The record is from RNAcentral. Lineage: Eukaryota; Viridiplantae; Streptophyta; Magnoliopsida; Arecales; Arecaceae.
UCUUGUGCAAAAUCUAUCAAGGCCUGAAAACUCUCCAUUGUCGAUCGACGGGCCUUGGCAAUUCGCCCCUCAACCUCCCGCUUGGCAUUAGCAACCUGGUCCUCGACCAUCUUUUCAGCCUCCAUAACUUUGGCAGUGGCCUCUCAUAGCUCCUCCUCCAUCCGAGCAAGGUCGGCAUUAGUUGUAUUUAGCAUCUCCUUCAGGUGCUCAACCUCCCCCCUGGUAGUCUCGAUCUACGCACGCACCUCCAUCAUGGCAAACUUAGCCUGUCCAUAUCCUUCAUCAUCUCUACUCUGCAUGUGCGGUUUAAAAGAAUGAUCAAAAAAUGGUGCAUUUGCACCAAAGCCACGUCAAGGAAGGAGAUGAAGAAUAGAGAAGAAAUCAAAAAAAU